UGGCGAACGGGUGAGUAAUACAUCGGAACGUGCCCAGUAGUGGGGGAUAACCCGGCGAAAGCCGGACUAAUACCGCAUACGACCUACGGGUGAAAGCAGGGGAUCGCAAGACCUUGCGCUAUCGGAGCGGCCGAUGUCAGAUUAGCUAGUUGGUAGGGUAAAAGCCUACCAAGGCGACGAUCUGUAGCUGGUCUGAGAGGACGACCAGCCACACUGGGACUGAGACACGGCCCAG
Molecule: ribosomal RNA, 235 nt
Filed under: uncultured bacterium
Lineage: Bacteria
Description: partial 16S ribosomal RNA
Rfam family: Bacterial small subunit ribosomal RNA
Source: RNAcentral